This 468-nucleotide ribosomal RNA is filed under the name uncultured bacterium. Its description in RNAcentral is "partial 16S ribosomal RNA". It matches the Rfam family "Bacterial small subunit ribosomal RNA", at positions 36 to 507 of the family's 1533-position model. The record is from RNAcentral.
UCCUCCCUCUUUCUUCGUGCUUAACACAUGCAAGUCGAACGGACAGGCCCUGCUUUUGUGGGGUGCUCGAGUGGCGAACGGGUGAGUAACACGUGAGUAACCUGCCCUUGACUUUGGGAUAACUUCAGGAAACUGGGGCUAAUACCGGAUAGGAGCUCCUGCUGCAUGGUGGGGGUUGGAAAGUUUCGGCGGUUGGGGAUGGACUCGCGGCUUAUCAGCUUGUUGGUGGGGUAGUGGCUUACCAAGGCUUUGACGGGUAGCCGGCCUGAGAGGGUGACCGGCCACAUUGGGACUGAGAUACGGCCCAGACUCCUACGGGAGGCAGAAGUGGGGAAUAUUGCACAAUGGGCGGAAGCCUGAUGCAGCAACGCCGCGUGCGGGAUGACGGCCUUCGGGUUGUAAACCUCUUUCGCCUGUGACGAAGCGUGAGUGACGGUAAUGGGUAAGGAAGCACCGGCUAACUACGUG